UCACUUACAGAUGGGCCCCCGGCGCAUUAUCUAUUUGGUGAGGUGACGGCUCACCAAGGCGACAAUGCGUAGCCGACAUGAGAGGGGGAUCGGCCACACUGGGACUGAGACACGGCCCACACUCCUACGGGAGGCAGCAGUAGGGAAUCUUCCCCAAUGGACAAAAGUCUGACAGAGCAACGCCGCGUGAGUGAUGAAAGUUUUCUGAUUGUAAAACUCUGUUGUUAGGGAAAAACAAGUUGGGUAGUAACUGACCUGACCUUGACAGUACCUAACCACAAAGCCCCGGCUAACUACAUGCCACCAGCCGCGGUAAUACAUAUGGGGCAAGCGUUGUCCGGAAUUAUUGGGCGUAAAGCGCGCGCACGCGGUCCUUUAAGUCUGAUGUGAAAGCCCACGGCUUAUCCGUGUAGAGGCAUUGUAAACUGUAGGACUUUAGUACACAAGAGGAGAGAGUAAUUCCCCGUGUAGCGCUGAAAUGCGUAU
This 486-nucleotide ribosomal RNA is filed under the name Bacillaceae bacterium N16(2010). RNAcentral's name for it is "bacterial SSU rRNA". It matches the Rfam family "Bacterial small subunit ribosomal RNA", at positions 215 to 693 of the family's 1533-position model. The record is from RNAcentral. Lineage: Bacteria; Bacillati; Bacillota; Bacilli; Caryophanales; Bacillaceae.